This 455-nucleotide ribosomal RNA is filed under the name uncultured bacterium. RNAcentral describes it as "bacterial SSU rRNA". It matches the Rfam family "Bacterial small subunit ribosomal RNA", at positions 340 to 786 of the family's 1533-position model. The record is from RNAcentral.
UACGGAAGGCAGCAGUGGGGAAUAUUGCACAAUGGGCGCAAGCCUGAUGCAGCCAUGCCGCGUGUAUGAAGAAGGCCUUCGGGUUGUAAAGUACUUUCAGUCGUGAGGAAGGUGUUAAGGUUAAUAACCUUAGCAAUUGACGUUAGCGACAGAAGAAGCACCGGCUAACUCCGUGCCAGCAGCCGCGGUAAUACGGAGGGUGCGAGCGUUAAUCGGAAUUACUGGGCGUAAAGGGCACGCAGGCGGUUAAUUAAGUUGGAUGUGAAAUCCCCGGGCUUAACCUGGGAAUGGCAUUCAAGACUGGUUAGCUAGAGUCUUGUAGAGGGGGUAGAAUUCCGAUGUGUAGCGGUGAAAUGCGUAGAGAUGUGGAGGAAUACCGGUGGCGAAGGCGGCCCCUGGGACAAAGACUGACGCUCAUGUGCGAAAGCGUGGGGAGCAAACAGGGAUUAGAUACC